This 424-nucleotide ribosomal RNA is filed under the name uncultured prokaryote. RNAcentral describes it as "bacterial SSU rRNA". It matches the Rfam family "Bacterial small subunit ribosomal RNA", at positions 355 to 774 of the family's 1533-position model. The record is from RNAcentral.
UCUAGAGGCUUCGGCAAUGGGGGAAACCCUGACCGAGCGACGCCGCGUGUGGGAUGAAGCCCUUCGGGGUGUAAACCGCUGUCAGGAGGGAAGAAUGCCGGAAAGGUAAUUUUCGGAGAGACGGUACCUCCAGAGGAAGCCACGGCUAACUCCGUGCCAGCAGCCGCGGUAAGACGGAGGUGGCAAGCGUUAUUCGGAUUCAUUGGGCGUAAAGGGCGUGUAGGCGGUUUGGUAAGUCUGAUGUGAAAUCUUCAUCGCUCAACGAGGAGACUGCAUCGGAUACUGCCAAUCUUGAGUGCAAGAAAGGUGAGUGGAAUUCCAGGUGUAGCGGUGGAAUGCGUAGAUAUCUGGAGGAACACCGGUGGCGAAAGCGGCUCACUGGCUUGUAACUGACGCUGAGGCGCGAAAGCGUGGGGAUCAAACA